UUGGGCAUAGAGUCUUUGCAA
RNAcentral lists this unclassified non-coding RNA (21 nucleotides) under Mus musculus (house mouse). RNAcentral's name for it is "oocyte_clustered_small_RNA7254". Lineage: Eukaryota; Metazoa; Chordata; Mammalia; Rodentia; Muridae. The record is from RNAcentral.